Molecule: ribosomal RNA, 460 nt
Filed under: uncultured bacterium
Lineage: Bacteria
Description: partial 16S ribosomal RNA
Rfam family: Bacterial small subunit ribosomal RNA
Source: RNAcentral
CCUACGGGGGGCAGCAGUGAGGAAUAUUGGUCAAUGGACGAGAGUCUGAACCAGCCAAGUAGCGUGAAGGAUGACUGCCCUAUGGGUUGUAAACUUCUUUUAUAAAGGAAUAAAACGAGGCACGUGUGCCUUUUUGCAUGUACUUUAUGAAUAAGGAUCGGCUAACUCCGUGCCAGCAGCCGCGGUAAUACGGAGGAUCCGAGCGUUAUCCGGAUUUAUUGGGUUUAAAGGGAGCGUAGAUGGGUUGUUAAGUCAGUUGUGAAAGUUUGCGGCUCAACCGUAAAAUUGCAAUUGAUACUGGCAGUCUUGAGUACAGUUGAGGUAGGCGGAAUUCGUGGUGUAGCGGUGAAAUGCGUAGAUAUCGCGAAGAACCCCGGUUGCGAAGGCAGCUUACUAAGCUGUGACUAACGUUGAUGCACGAAAGUGUGGGUAGCAAACAGGAUUAGAUACCCUAGUAGUC